GACGAACGCUGGCGGCGUGCCUAAUACAUGCAAGUCGAGCGGAGCUUAUCCUUCGGGGUAAGCUUAGCGGCGGACGGGUGAGUAACACGUAGGCAACCUGCCCCUUCGCCUGGGAUAACUACCGGAAACGGUAGCUAAUACCGGAUAAUUUCUUUUUUCUCCCGAAGAGAGAAUGAAAGGCGGAGCAAUCUGCUCUUAAGGGAUGGGCCUGCGGCGCAUUAGCUAGUUGGUGGGGUAACGGCCCACCAAGGCGACGAUGCGUAGCUGACCUGAGAGGGUGAACGGCCACACUGGGACUGAGACACGGCCCAGACUCCUACGGGAGGCAGCAGUAGGGAAUCUUCCGCAAUGGGCGAAAGCCUGACGGAGCAACGCCGCGUGAGUGAUGAAGGUUUUCGGAUCGUAAAGCUCUGUUGCCAGGGAAGAACGUCCGGUAGAGUAACUGCUACCGGAGUGACGGUACCUGAGAAGAAAGCCCCGGCUAACUACGUGCCAGCAGCCGCAGUAA
This 508-nucleotide ribosomal RNA is filed under the name uncultured bacterium. RNAcentral's name for it is "partial 16S ribosomal RNA". It matches the Rfam family "Bacterial small subunit ribosomal RNA", at positions 28 to 523 of the family's 1533-position model. The record is from RNAcentral.